This 253-nucleotide ribosomal RNA is filed under the name uncultured bacterium. RNAcentral describes it as "partial 16S ribosomal RNA". It matches the Rfam family "Bacterial small subunit ribosomal RNA", at positions 524 to 776 of the family's 1533-position model. The record is from RNAcentral.
CACGUACUGCGCGAGCGUUAUUCGGAAUCACUGGGCGUAAAGGGUGCGUAGGCGGUUCAAUUAGUCAGGUGUGAAAUCCCACAGCUCAACUGUGGAACUGCACUUGAAACUGUUGAACUUGAGAUCUCUAGGGGUGAGCGGAACUUCCGGUGGAGCGGUGAAAUGUGUUGAGAUCGGAAGGAACACCAAGAGCGAAGGCAGCUCACUGGGGAGAUACUGACGCUGAGGCACGAAAGCUAGGGGAGCGAACGGG